This 123-nucleotide non-coding RNA is filed under the name Aegilops tauschii subsp. strangulata. The record is from RNAcentral. Lineage: Eukaryota; Viridiplantae; Streptophyta; Magnoliopsida; Poales; Poaceae.
GUGUUCGUAAAAAGGAGAGACGGUUGGCAUCUCCCCUGACAGGGACGGGAACGGUCUUCGGACUUUCCUCUAGCACACAGCGGUUAAGGCUACCCGCUUCGGCGGAUCUUACCCAAUUUUUUU